UUUGCGUCGGCGUGCAAUUGCCGUCGCUAAAGCCUACUCUUUUGCGACGGCAAAACUUGACCGUCGCAAUUGUAUAGAGAUUUUGCGACCGUAUUAACUGCCGUCGCCCCUAGUGGUCGCCAACCACUAUGAAUUUACUUCGGCAAGCAUUAGCCGUCGCAAGUUUUUAACAGUUUGCUACUGCAAAACACUUGCCGUCGCUUUAGGGUGGUUAUCUGAACGAUUCUAUCUCUUUGAUUAAAAGAAAACUUCUUUUCUUUCUCUGCGCUGCUCUCUUUCUUCUUUGACCCCAUGACUCCAUCUCGAUCCGACACUGAUGAUUACUUUCAGAUUUCCUCUCUAGAUCUGCCAAAUUCGUAGCAGAAUGUAACCGCCGACUAAUUGCUGCGAUUUCGGUCCUGUCAAGUUUACCAAGCUAUCUACAAACCAAUCGUUCCUCUCAAGAUCCUUCCUCUGGGUGAGAAACAAAAGGAAAAGGUCAGUACUAUGUACAUCUGUAUGUCAAGAGUUCCUUUGAAAAUCUGUUAAUUAGAUUGGGUUUUCAUAUUAUGUAAACUUUCACCGAAUCUAAUAUCAAAUUCUGAUAGGAUACGUUAGGGUUUUAGUCUAUUUUGAAGAUCGAAAGAGUUGUGAGCUCCCUUUGUAGUUCCGCUUAAGAGAUUUAGGUUUUUCUUUUGGGUCCGGUAAUUGUCUCCCUUAAUUCUCAGGUCUGGUUGUAUUUGGAUGUGAAUAUGGUCUCGAUUAUUAUGGGUUUUGUUUAAAGUUGUGGUCUUUCGAUGGAUAUUGGGGGUUUUAGAUUUGUGGGUUUUCCAUUGUUUUGUUUUUUGGUGAAAUUGGGUUUUGGGUUUGGUUUGUUUGAUCGUCGAUUGUGGAAAUUGAAAAUGAGGGUAUGGUUUUUGCUUGAUUGUUCACUACAAAAAAGAAUUGCAAUGGCUACACAUGGAUAGCGUCAGUAGCCAAAAGGAGCAUUGGCUUUGAGGUAUUGAAUAUAAUUUCAUUCAUAGUUGAAGGGUUUUGGGUUGAAUAGAAUUUCAUUCAUGCCUGAAGGGACGUUCUGUUACAGUGAAUCUCUGAUAUAGUUGAAUUUGCAGAAAUUGCUGGAUGCUUACAGAGGUUAAAAAGCUCAGAGAAGCAGAAUAUUUGCAGGCAUUUCAACUCUGACCAUCCCUGUGCAGUUCCAAGCAAACAAAAUGGACUCAAUUUGGAUAAAUACUGACAAACCAAGGGACAUUGUUUAACGUUUAUGAGCCAAAGAAGAACGAUCUAAACUUUGCACUCAAAGAAGAAGUGUGAAAGCCAAGAUUGGGAAGCUACUGUUCACUGUUGUCAGCAAGCUCUUAUUGUUUGCACUUUGAGUUUUGACACCUCCACAUUUGAACUAUGUAUUGCUGGAGCUAUCAUUGUCAAGUUUCCUGUUUUGGGGAGCUCAUCUCCGGGACCUUCCAAUACCAAAGUUUUUGGCCAUUUUGUCAGCAUGGGAUUUUCCAAUAAUGGGGGCAAACUACUUUGAAGCUACUGUCAAAUGGUUGCCAAAGCUAUUCAGGAACAUGGCGAGGAAAGCGCCGAUUCAAUCCGUCACAUCAUUGUUUUCAGCAAUAGUACUAUCUUCAACUGUCGAGAUCUCAGCCUCAUUCUGUUUUACAUGCUUUGACAGUCCUUUGAGAUCAGAUAGACAAGUUUCUUAGCUCCAUGAUGAAAACAUGUCAUUGUUACUUUCCUUUUUCUCUUUUUCCUGUGCAAUCAUACAAUAAAAACAAAUGUGAGGGCAAGCGUGUUGCUGAGACCUUGAUGUUUGACUAUCAUCGGCAACAUGGGAUAGCUUCUGGGCACAGUUUUUACUGCCUAUGCUUUCUGUUUUCAAAAAAGGCUCAGGGAGAUUUUCCUUAAGCAGGAUAAUCUUAUCCAAGGCCGUUUCCUUGCUGAGCUGACAAAGCAAGUGUUUUCUGAUCUUUCUGCCAGUAAAUAUCAGAUGGCUGAGCACAGAAUAUCAAAAUAUGGCAAGAAGCAAAGUGAGUGGGACCAAAUGGCUAGUUGGAUAGUGAACAAUGAAUUGUACAGUGAGAAUGUUGUAUGGUUGAUACAGCUGCCACGGCUGUACAAUAUAUACCAGGAAAUGGGAUAUAUUGUACAUACUGUAUCAUUAUGUGAUAGGUUCAAGAUGCAUCCAGUGGCCAUGAAAUUAGAAGGGAGUCCAUAGGAGAAGGAGUUCAUCCAGAUUCAACUAGUGAUCAAGAAAUUGAGCACGCUCCAGUACUCACCAAGCCCUCUAGUUAAUGAUAAAUAGUAUUGUGGUCAAGUCUGCUUUUGAACAAUAUUAAGUUUGGGAAUGUUUCUUCCAGAGUUUCAGUUAUCUAGUAUGGUAGAUUCUUAGUAGAUUCGUAUAAUUAUGAAAGACUCUGGUUUGUUUGGUUAAUUUCAAUUUGUACUUGGUAAUGAAAUAUAACUUGGCACUUAUCAGUUGUGAGAUAGC
This is an RNA transcript of Rosa rugosa (rugosa rose), 2470 nucleotides long. It is a transcript of the gene named probable AMP deaminase, with no coding region annotated. The transcript has 11 exons. The record is from RefSeq and is a predicted model, not a curated record. Lineage: Eukaryota; Viridiplantae; Streptophyta; Magnoliopsida; Rosales; Rosaceae.